RNAcentral lists this transfer RNA (75 nucleotides) under Planctomycetota bacterium. RNAcentral describes it as "tRNA-Leu". It matches the Rfam family "tRNA". From Rfam's summary of the family: Transfer RNA (tRNA) molecules are approximately 80 nucleotides in length. Their secondary structure includes four short double-helical elements and three loops (D, anti-codon, and T loops). Further hydrogen bonds mediate the characteristic L-shaped molecular structure. tRNAs have two regions of fundamental functional importance: the anti-codon, which is responsible for specific mRNA codon recognition, and the 3' end, to which the tRNAs corresponding amino acid is attached (by aminoacyl-tRNA synthetases). tRNAs cope with the degeneracy of the genetic code in two manners: having more than one tRNA (with a specific anti-codon) for a particular amino acid; and 'wobble' base-pairing, i.e. permitting non-standard base-pairing at the 3rd anti-codon position. The record is from RNAcentral. Lineage: Bacteria; Pseudomonadati; Planctomycetota.
GGCACGGUGCGCCAACGUGGCAGAGCGACCAAGCUCAAACCUUGGUGGAUGUGGGUUCGACUCCCUCCCGUGCUA